Molecule: long non-coding RNA, 972 nt
Filed under: Triticum aestivum (bread wheat)
Lineage: Eukaryota; Viridiplantae; Streptophyta; Magnoliopsida; Poales; Poaceae
Description: long non-coding RNA (TAES_LNC011756)
Source: RNAcentral
AUGUCGAGUCGUCGAGCCGUCCAAUGCCAAGUUCGCCAGCGGAAGGAGAACAUCUGUCAAGCCGUCCGUCGCCUGAGGCGGCUACACCAGAGGUAUGUCUCCUCUUGAAAGUUAAUCGCCUGAGCUGUCCAUCGCCUGAGCCAUCCAUCGCCUGAGCCCCUGUUUCAGUUUAUUUUUUCCACCUCGCUGCUCAACAGGUCCGUGGGUUACUACUCCUUUGCUCUUGCUGGUGACCGGCCUCAAGAGUAGCACUUGCUUGAGAUCUGAUCUAGAACUGAAUUGUGCCCUGCUUUGCUGUGGUCAUAUGCUCUGCGUCCACCGAUGAGUUUCAGAUACAGAUUAGGACCAAAAUUGGAGUAGGUUCAGUCACGCAAAUGUUGUAUCACUUUGUCAUGGGUAUUGUGCUGCUGAAUUGCUUGUUGGACUGUUCAAACUAAAGUCGUCCAGUCAGUUUGCUACAAUGUCCAUUUGUUUACUUUGGAAGUUCUGUAGAAUUUGGGCCUGGUCACUUUCGAAUUGUCUGUGGUUUGUGAUUAAUCUUUCCGAGAUGUUAGAGAGUGGGUCCAAUGAUGGAUCUGCCCAUCAGUGUGCAGAGGAUCUUCUAAUUCCUGCAGCUAAUCUUGAUUCAUGGAUAUUGUGUUUGCUCUGUGACGCACUAUGUUUCAGUUUAUUUUUUCUGAAAAAUUGGCGCUACUUCUGAUUGCUCACAAUUUAAGUUUUGCUGAUAUACACUGGAGGCAUUAAACCAACAACUUUCUCUGUUUUUUUAUGCAUGCUGCUACAAAUACAAGCACACUGCUUACAAACACACGGCUUCUGCUGGCUUGGCUAGCUUUGUACGUCCACUUUGCGCUACAAGUCGCCUUUCUACGAUGUCUUACAAUCUCAUAGUACAGACCGUGCUCCACCUGAGGUACGCCCGAUCUCAUGCCAAGCUAACUACGGUUCUGUCGUUUUGGAAAAGGCAUGAAC